UACGGAGGGUGCAAGCAUUGAUCGGAAUUACUGGGCGUAAAGGGUGCGUAGGCGGCUGGAAAAGUCAGAUGUGAAAUUCCACGGCUCAACUGUGGGGCUGCAUUUGAAACUUUCUAGCUAGAGCCUAGUUAGGGAAAACGGAAUUCCACGUGUAGCGGUGAAAUGCGUAGAUAUGUGGAAGAACACCGGUGGUGAAGACGGUUUUCUGGACUAGAGCUGACGCUGAGGCACGAAAGCUAGGGGAGCAAACAGG
Molecule: ribosomal RNA, 253 nt
Filed under: uncultured bacterium
Lineage: Bacteria
Description: partial 16S ribosomal RNA
Rfam family: Bacterial small subunit ribosomal RNA
Source: RNAcentral